Molecule: ribosomal RNA, 1521 nt
Filed under: Salmonella enterica subsp. enterica serovar Ohio
Lineage: Bacteria; Pseudomonadati; Pseudomonadota; Gammaproteobacteria; Enterobacterales; Enterobacteriaceae
Description: bacterial SSU rRNA
Rfam family: Bacterial small subunit ribosomal RNA
Source: RNAcentral
AGAGUUUGAUCAUGGCUCAGAUUGAACGCUGGCGGCAGGCCUAACACAUGCAAGUCGAACGGUAACAGGAAGCAGCUUGCUGCUUUGCUGACGAGUGGCGGACGGGUGAGUAAUGUCUGGGAAACUGCCUGAUGGAGGGGGAUAACUACUGGAAACGGUGGCUAAUACCGCAUAACGUCGCAAGACCAAAGAGGGGGACCUUCGGGCCUCUUGCCAUCAGAUGUGCCCAGAUGGGAUUAGCUAGUUGGUGAGGUAACGGCUCACCAAGGCGACGAUCCCUAGCUGGUCUGAGAGGAUGACCAGCCACACUGGAACUGAGACACGGUCCAGACUCCUACGGGAGGCAGCAGUGGGGAAUAUUGCACAAUGGGCGCAAGCCUGAUGCAGCCAUGCCGCGUGUAUGAAGAAGGCCUUCGGGUUGUAAAGUACUUUCAGCGGGGAGGAAGGUGUUGUGGUUAAUAACCGCAGCAAUUGACGUUACCCGCAGAAGAAGCACCGGCUAACUCCGUGCCAGCAGCCGCGGUAAUACGGAGGGUGCAAGCGUUAAUCGGAAUUACUGGGCGUAAAGCGCACGCAGGCGGUCUGUCAAGUCGGAUGUGAAAUCCCCGGGCUCAACCUGGGAACUGCAUUCGAAACUGGCAGGCUUGAGUCUUGUAGAGGGGGGUAGAAUUCCAGGUGUAGCGGUGAAAUGCGUAGAGAUCUGGAGGAAUACCGGUGGCGAAGGCGGCCCCCUGGACAAAGACUGACGCUCAGGUGCGAAAGCGUGGGGAGCAAACAGGAUUAGAUACCCUGGUAGUCCACGCCGUAAACGAUGUCUACUUGGAGGUUGUGCCCUUGAGGCGUGGCUUCCGGAGCUAACGCGUUAAGUAGACCGCCUGGGGAGUACGGCCGCAAGGUUAAAACUCAAAUGAAUUGACGGGGGCCCGCACAAGCGGUGGAGCAUGUGGUUUAAUUCGAUGCAACGCGAAGAACCUUACCUGGUCUUGACAUCCACGGAAGUUUCCAGAGAUGGAUUGUGCCUUCGGGAACUGUGAGACAGGUGCUGCAUGGCUGUCGUCAGCUCGUGUUGUGAAAUGUUGGGUUAAGUCCCGCAACGAGCGCAACCCUUAUCCUUUGUUGCCAGCGGUCCGGCCGGGAACUCAAAGGAGACUGCCAGUGAUAAACUGGAGGAAGGUGGGGAUGACGUCAAGUCAUCAUGGCCCUUACGACCAGGGCUACACACGUGCUACAAUGGCGCAUACAAAGAGAAGCGACCUCGCGAGAGCAAGCGGACCUCAUAAAGUGCGUCGUAGUCCGGAUUGGAGUCUGCAACUCGACUCCAUGAAGUCGGAAUCGCUAGUAAUCGUGGAUCAGAAUGCCACGGUGAAUACGUUCCCGGGCCUUGUACACACCGCCCGUCACACCAUGGGAGUGGGUUGCAAAAGAAGUAGGUAGCUUAACCUUCGGGAGGGCGCUUACCACUUUGUGAUUCAUGACUGGGGUGAAGUCGUAACAAGGUAACCGUAGGGGAACCUGCGGUUG